UCAUGAAUGCCAUGUGAUGAAUUAGGUUGCUUGCAUUAGAAUUCACGAAUAUGUUGCAUUGCAUAUGUUAAAUGUUGAUGUGGAUGAAUGUUGGAUGAUCCAUAGCCCUCGAUCUAUGAUAUGACGAUGUGAUAUGUACGGUAUGGAAUGUAAGACCAGUGGGACCCAUUCUACGUUCGCUGGCACUAUGUAAGGGAAAGACCAGGACCCAUUCUACGUUCUGGCACAGUUGGACAAUGUUAUGUUAUGAUAUGUAAGAGAAAGACCAGGACCCAUUCUACAUUCUGGCACAGUUGGACACUGUUAUGUUAUGAUAUGUAAGGGAAAGACCAGGACCCAUUCUACGUUCUGGCACAGUUGGACCAUGUAGAGGGCUAUUGGUGACAAAUUCAUCCUUGAUGUGAUUAGCUGUGAUGUGAUGCAUUCCAUGAUCC
Molecule: long non-coding RNA, 434 nt
Filed under: Manihot esculenta (cassava)
Lineage: Eukaryota; Viridiplantae; Streptophyta; Magnoliopsida; Malpighiales; Euphorbiaceae
Description: long non-coding RNA (MESC_LNC007961)
Source: RNAcentral